Molecule: ribosomal RNA, 116 nt
Filed under: Pteropus alecto (black flying fox)
Lineage: Eukaryota; Metazoa; Chordata; Mammalia; Chiroptera; Pteropodidae
Source: RNAcentral
GUCUACGGCCGUGCCACCCUGAACAAGCCCAAUGUCUGAUCUCGGAAGCUAAGCAGUGUCGGGCCUGGUUAGUACUUGGAUGGGAGACCUCCUAGGAAGACCAGGUACUGUAGGCA